GGUGGCGUGUGGUGCGGUGGCCGCCGAGCGCAUGCGCCCUGUGUGCCUGUGGCAGGCUUGGCGGCCUUUCGGAGCCGGCGGCUUUUUGCGGUCGUCGAGGGACUUUGGUGGCCUGUGAGACCGAGUUGCCGUGGUGACGGCCGGGCGUUGCGGCGUGUGACACCUGGAUGAGGGCUCGCUGGAGGAGAUUGGCGAGGCUGAGCGCUGGAGUUUCCACGGAGUAAAGCACUCAGACACGUACUAGGUGCUCAGUAAGCAUUGGGCUUGGAGCAGAGGAGACCUUCCUGUCCAUCUUCCCACAAUGCUACCAAUUCCAGCCUUCCCCAGGGAGGCUCAGGGGAUUCCGGUUUCCAAACCAGACAUGAUUUCCCGGCUACAGCCAGCAGAGGAACCAUGGAUGCUGAAAAGAGAAGUGCCAUGAGGUUUCUGUCCAGGCACCUCCACCCUGUUUUCCAAAGUGGCUGUACCAACUUGCAUUCCCACCCCAAAGACAGAGAUGUAGCGAAAAGAAGGGCCACACGCACCCCAGCGUUCAUAGCAGCAAUGUCCGCAGUAGCCAAACUGUGGAAAGAGCCGAGAUGCCCCUCAGCAGAUGAGUGGGUCAAGAAGAUGCGGUCCAUACCUACAAGUGGAAUAUGACUCAGCCCUCAGAAAGGAUGAACACCCGACUUUUACAUCCGCAUGGAUGGGACCAGAGGAGAGGAUGCUCAGUGAAAUAAGUCAAGCAGAGAAAGACCAUUAUCACAUGGUUUCACUUAUUUGUGGAACGUGAGGAAGAGCACGGAGGACAUCAGGAGAAGGAAGGGAAAA
Long non-coding RNA from Zalophus californianus (California sea lion), 810 nucleotides. RefSeq lists it as uncharacterized. NCBI's taxonomy places the organism in Eukaryota, Metazoa, Chordata, Mammalia, Carnivora, Otariidae. The record is from RefSeq and is a predicted model, not a curated record. The transcript is spliced from 4 exons.